UCCAGCCAUGCCGCGUGAGUGACGAAGGCCUUAGGGUUGUAAAGCUCUUUUGGCGGGGACGAUAAUGACGGUACCCGCAGAAUAAGCCCCGGCUAACUUCGUGCCAGCAGCCGCGGUAAUACGAGGGGGGCUAGCGUUGUUCGGAAUCACUGGGCGUAAAGCGCACGUAGGCGGAUUUGUUAGUCAGGGGUGAAAUCCCGGGGCUCAACCUCGGAACUGCCUUUGAUACUGCAAGUCUCGAGUCCGGAAGAGGUGAGUGGAAUUCCUAGUGUAGAGGUGAAAUUCGUAGAUAUUAGGAGAACACCAGUGGCGAAGGCGGCUCACUGGUCCGGUACUGACGCUGAGGUGCGAAAGCGUGGGGAGCAAAACAGGAUUAGAUACCCUGGUAGUCCACGCCGUAAACUAUGGAUGCUAGCCGUCGGCAAGCUUGCUUGUCGGUGGCGGCAGCUAACGCAUUAAGCAUCCCGCC
This 469-nucleotide ribosomal RNA is filed under the name uncultured bacterium. RNAcentral describes it as "bacterial SSU rRNA". It matches the Rfam family "Bacterial small subunit ribosomal RNA", at positions 387 to 873 of the family's 1533-position model. The record is from RNAcentral.